This 327-nucleotide unclassified non-coding RNA is filed under the name Hevea brasiliensis (rubber tree). The record is from RNAcentral. Lineage: Eukaryota; Viridiplantae; Streptophyta; Magnoliopsida; Malpighiales; Euphorbiaceae.
AGUGUGUGCUUGUGAUUUUUCUCUGUUUGUGUGCAUUCACAAGUCAGGGUUAAUCUCCAGUGGAACUUAAACAACCAUAAAAAGAAGAUACUUGCACCUACUUGCCUAGUUAAUUCCUCAAAAGUAACUCAUGUACUUAAAAGAUACCUCACUUGAGUAUCUUCUGUGUUUUCAGACUAAUAAAAUUGUAGGACAAAUGUUUUAAGGUCUAGUUUCGGGGAAAGCUGCUAGUGAUCCUGAUAUGUUCUAAUUGUGAAGGCAAGUAAAGGUGUGUGUCUAGUGAGCUGAAAUGAAUUAGCCUACCUCUUCUGUGCUUAUCUCUUCCAU